CGUUCGGAACUAAAUGUUCCGAAUGCAGCCAGAACACUGGCCAGUGGAGUACCCUUUUAAUUUCAAGCAUCAUAGCAAAGGGUCUGAAUACUUCUGUCCAUGGGGAAAAAAAAUUUUUUUUAAUAUAUUUGCUACAAUUUUCAAAAUUCUGUCUUCACAUUCUCAUUAUGGGGUAUUGACUGAAGAUUGAUGGUGAAAUCUCUAUCAUUAAUUUUUUUACUUCAGCACAAGGCCUCAGCCAAAUAUGAAAAAAGUGGAAGGGUCUAAAAACUUUUCGAAUGCAUUGUAUUUUCAACCUUUUCAAACUUAUACGGCGAAUACACACCUAUCGCGGCGGUCCCUGCGGCCAUCAACGGCCGGGACCCGCGGUUAAUACAGGACAUCACCGAUCGCGGUGAUGCCCUGUAUUAACCCUUCAGACACGGCGAUCAAAGCUGACCGCCGCGUCUGAAGCGAAAGUGACACUAACCCGGCUGCACCGGGAGGGACCUUACCUGCCUCCUGCAUGGCCGGCGCUCUCCUUUGUCGUCAUCACGUUGUCGCGCACGCUGCCCCGUCAUCCAAUAGGAGCGGCGUGCGGAGCGACGUGAUGGUGGCGACGGAGAGCUAGGAUGCCGGGCAGCAGAGACGUUCCAGAGCGACGGGGACACCCCGGGGACGCAGCGAUAGCGAUGGAGGGCGACAUCCAGGGCAGCGGUGACGGGUCCGGAGCAGCGGGGACACGUGAGUAUUACCUCCUAUACCAGUGGUCCGCUGGUUGAAGAUCACUGUGACCUAUACUUUACAUUGUAUUCUAGAUUUUCCUCAUUUAAAAUUGGGUGUGUCUUAUAUGCCGGAGCGUCCUAUAGGGCGAAAAAUACGGUAAUACACGUACCAUGAGGACCUUCUAUUGUCUUCACCUGCUAUUGUCUUCAAUGCGCUAAAUGGACCUCUAUCUUGUUAAUCCUGUUUUGCAGCUGCUCACUGUUGCAUCUAAACAACAGUAGCUAGAAUACAAAGUUUGGUCACUAUGAAGACAUUUUUUUUAACGUCCUAUAUUUUGUAGGCUACAAAUCCCAAACUGCACUAUAAGAGCCUGUCCUCUGGCACUGCACAGGCUCCAGCAGCAGCUUGUUCACAUGAAUACAACUCUACAGAUUUUUUUUUUCUGCAAUGUUCCCGCGCUGCUUUUCACACACACACAAAAAAAAAAAAAAAAGCGGGACAUUUUUAGGACAUUUUAACGAAAUGCUCGACUAUUUUUGUUUGUUAUGAAACACAAAAGUUAUACAAAAAAAAGCAAAAAGAAAAAACACUGGAACAUAUAACACUGGCUAUUUAUUUUGCAAAAAAAAAACUUUACAAAACAAUGAAAAGAAUCUUUCAGCUCCUGAGUAUUUACACUGAGAAACAAAGACUUUCUGUGGUAAUAUAGACAUUGUGGCGAGGCCUGGCUUUUUUCCCCCUCCCCCCUUAAACUGGAGCGAUGCGUUAUUUAAGAAGCGUCAGUGGAGCAAUAUGAACAAUAACUUCACAUUUUGCUUAUUUCAUGGUUUUGGAGAAAGUGUAACAUGAUGUGACAUUCCAUAAUCCCACCAUAAGGAUACCAAGUUUCUCUAUUUUCUGGCAGAAGGGCUGCUGAUUCUGGAUGUCUGUGUGAAGUCUGUGUGUAAAUAAGUUGAGACCGUGUAAAGCACAUCCAGUUAGUAUGUAAAUUCCUUUCCUUCCAGCUUCAUGUGUAACUGAAGUCACACAGUGUCCUCCUAAAAACACAACACCCCUUCAAACAGUGUAUAACUCCUCUGCCAAGGGCUUAUAUCCUCAGGGGCCAUGAGGCCUGCACCACACUGUAUGUGCCAGUUACCCGGCAUUGCUCAGAGUGGCUUGCAGGCUUCUUUGCCCCUGAAAAUUAAUGACAGAAUGAAAUCUCUACCGACGAAAGGGAAAUAAAGAUUCUGAAUGGUUAAA
Molecule: long non-coding RNA, 1947 nt
Organism: Hyla sarda
Lineage: Eukaryota; Metazoa; Chordata; Amphibia; Anura; Hylidae
Exons: 2
Source: RefSeq, a predicted model, not a curated record